CGACGGGAUUUGCGAAGCCCUAGGAGCAUGCCGAGGGGCGGUUGGCCUCGUAAAAAGCCGCAAAAAAAUAGUCGCAAACGACGAAAACUACGCUUUAGCAGCUUAAUACCCUG
This 113-nucleotide transfer-messenger RNA is filed under the name mosquito metagenome. Its description in RNAcentral is "transfer-messenger RNA Serra_marce_LCTSM2". It matches the Rfam family "transfer-messenger RNA", at positions 17 to 135 of the family's 374-position model. From Rfam's summary of the family: Bacterial tmRNA, also known as 10Sa RNA or SsrA, is named for its dual tRNA and mRNA-like properties. Its role is to liberate the mRNA from a stalled ribosome. The record is from RNAcentral.